Molecule: long non-coding RNA, 486 nt
Filed under: Rosa chinensis
Lineage: Eukaryota; Viridiplantae; Streptophyta; Magnoliopsida; Rosales; Rosaceae
Description: sRNA RchiOBHm_Chr2g0155411
Source: RNAcentral
UUAAUUUUGAUCUUUGUUCCUUGCGUUCCACCCUUGUAUAUAUGUUUUUACUCAUGAGAGAGGAGUUGAUCAUGUGAAACAUUCGAAAGCAAAUGAUUUCCCAUAUUUUACUUUUCAAUGCUAAUUAACCUAAGCGAAAGCACCUAGAUUAAUCCUAUCAAACAUGCAAUCAAGCCCUAGAAAGCUAGUCAAUCAUGACAUGUUCAACGCAUUAGACAUAGAGAAAGGCUAUCAACUCAAGUGUACAACUUAGUUAUGGAAAAGUCCACCUAAUUGCAAUCCUCUUCAAUUAAAUUCGAUUCUUGUCCAGAACCUUUACUACUUUUGAUUCAAGUUACACAAAACGAAAAGUCGAUUUCAUGUUCUUAAACCUAGCACCAAUUACAUGCAAAUCCUAUAAGUGUCGACCCAAAUAAGAUAAACAUAUAAAAGUUUUCUGUAAAGCAAAUUUAAUCGAACAAACUCACAUAAGCAACUUAGAAUCAC